CACCAGUAUAAAUUUCGUAUAUGAAACGUCGAAGUCGUUUAAUAAUGGUAUAAGUAUAAAAUUCAACCGUAUCACAUAUACUGUAAUAUUUCGGAUGGAUAUUAUUCGUAUGAUUACUCUGUUUAUUAUGCGUAUUUCAUUAUACAGAAGUUUAAAAUACGUAUUAUUAUAGCAAAAGCAACGUAUAGUAUAUUUGUUCAUUAUUCGUACGAAAAUCGUUUAAAACUUAUAUGUUUAACGAUGUUGGUACUCCAUCUUUCAACGUUUUAUCAGAAUCGUUUCAUUUGAAUUUACAAAUUACGAGCUAUUAACGUUCACGAAAUUCGUUUAUGAUUUUGGUAAUCACAACAUAUAAUAUUCAUUCAUGACACAACUGCCAGCAACUUUAAUUAGACGUUUAUCAUACUUCCUAUUCACCAUUGCACAGCAGUAUAUUGAUUGUUUUAUGAACGUAUAUCUUCGACUAUUAUAAUGUACGUUUUAUUGGUAUUUCUGAUCUACGCGUGAUAGACGUUUAUGAAAUUCAUUUUCAAUCUUGGUGUCUACAACAUCUAUAUAUAUAUAUAUUAGGGUGUGUCGAAAAUGAACUUUUUUUUUUUCUUCGCUCCUACCACUCAAAACUUUAGGUUUUGACAUUAAAGAGGUCCUCGUUCAAGGAGGGCGCUGUAGCUUGAAGUUUAGAAGUCGCUCAACGAGGAUUUAGGUUUCCCAUCUAAUUAACACGUAAAAAAUAUUGUUUUUCGUUCAAAAUGAUGUCAGGCAACCAUAAAAUUGGCGAUGUCUGUAUUUCUUGGCUUAUUUGAAAGCAUGACUCAUCCCCUAAACGAUGAUAGGUCGUUUUUCGACUUACCUUGUUCCAAUUUUUUUUUACGCCACUUUUCGACCACAAUAGUCACUUUUUCAAGUUUACAAAGUCUCCAAGGUAUCAAUGAGUCCAAAAUGAAUUGCUACAAGUAUUGAUUCUUGAUUCGAAUAUAAAUAACCAAUUCUAAAAAUUGGUAAAUUCCGUAUCUUCAAUUUUAUUCAAAAAACCAUGUUUAUUUUGAGAAAUUUUGUAUGUUUCACUAAUUUUUGGAAUUGGUUAUUUAUAUUCGAAUCAAGAAUCAAUACUUGUAGCAAUUCAUUUUGAACUCAUUGAUACAUUGGAGACUUUGUAAACUUGAAAAAGUGACUAUUGUGGUCGAAAAGUGGCGUAAAAAAAAUUGGUACAAGGUAAGUCGAAAAACGACCUAUCAUCGUUUAGGGGAUGAGUCAUGCUUUCAAAUAAGCCAAGAAGCACAGAAAUCGCCAAUUUUUUGGAUGCCUGACAUCAUUUUGAACGAAAAACAAUAUUUUUUACGUGUUAAUUAGAUGGGAAACCUAAAUCCUCGUUGAGCGACUUCUAAACUUCAAGCUACAGCGCCCUCCUUGAACGAGGACCUCUUUAAUGUCAAAACCUAAAGUUUUGAGUGGUAGGAGCGAAGAAAAAAAAAAGUUCAUUUUCGACACACCCUAAUAUAUAUAUAUAUAUAUAUAUAUAUAUAUAUAUAUAUUGUACAUUCAUCAUACAACUACCAGCAACCCCAAUUAAGCGCUUAAUUAUUGCGGUUUUCCACUAUUGCACAGAAAUAUAUUCAUCGUUUGAUGAACGUAUUUUUUCAACGAUUAUUGUUCACGUUUUACUGCUACUUGUGAUCUACGUUCAAUAACCGUUUAUGAAAUUUAUUCAAUAUCGGACUAUUUUCAAGAUACAUUGAAUUGUAUAAUAUGUAUAUUUGAUCAAAUGGGUUCAUACUUGUUUUACUUCAACACGAUUGAGGAAAAUUCAACGUUGAGUACAAUAUUCAGAUUAUGAACGCACUUUUAGUAUUCAUGUAUGCGGAACCGCCUGAUGCCAAGCGGUGGCCAAAUCAGUUGAUUAUCUUAUAAUUAGUUUCCGAAAAAUGGACUUUAAUUACCCGUUAUUUUGAUGCCAAUAUUAUGUGGUAACUAAAGCUGAACACUGAUCUUGUAUUCAUUUACCGGUGCAUGGAACAUAGAUAUAACCAAUAAAAGGAAGAGAAUAAAGAAGUGUCCGAAACGUGAAUAAUUUCGUACCAAGAAUAAUAAUUUAUUGUACAUUUUUAUAAUUAUUUCACAAUAUUGGUUAUCAUAUUAUAAUAUAUUAAAUCUCAUUAUUUGGCACGAAUUACGUCAAGACUUCAAUAUCUUGUAUGAGUACUUGCUAAAACAAGCGUUCAUCAUAUCCUGUCGCAUUUUUAACGUCGUUUGUACGUUUAUUUUUCGCGCUAUUUUAUCGGAGUUCUGUGCGUUAUACAUUGUGUCACUACUGAUAUAUUAUUCUCCUGCUCUGGUGCGUCAGCGUCGGUAACGCUGCAAGCUAGAGUAAGAGCGCAAUAAUUAUAUGUAGAGACAGAACUUAUCCCAUGGACCGCGCAUUCAUACAGUAAGUGUAAGUAUAGCGAGUGGUAAGACAAGGACAGCUCGGAAUAACACGGGCAUAUAUGGCAAAGUUGAUUCCCUUUUGGGCACGAUCUCUCUGUCGCUCUUGCGUCUCCUCUAUCUUUGUCUUUGUCUGGGAGCCUAUAUUCAUCCCCACCCUUGCAACUGGCCUCAGGCGCUGGUUAUGGCGUUAUUCGUCAACCGAAUGCGGAGGUGCUCGGAUCGAUCGGUGAUCGUGUAGCAAAAAAGGUGAGAAGCUAUUGUUAAUCUGCGGCCUAGACGGAAGAAGCAAAUUCGUCAUUAAAUAACGCUGUUUUCAGAGUGGUGUGCGGAUAUUUACGACAAAUAAGGCAAGCACGUUAAAGCGUACAUCAUUUCUUGUCUGGUGUGUAUUAUUAUUUAGUUUUAUAACAUGCCUCAUGAUUUAAAAGUUCUGAGUAAACGACAUUUGCGUCGCAAAACAGCUAUAAAUACUCGUAAAGUAUUACUGAGUAUUGCAGGCAAUAAUUGUGCACUCGAGCACCUUACGAAAUCACAAUUAAAAGAUGCUAGUCAUGAACAUGUGUCUUGUAUCGGAGAAUAUGUGCACUCUAUAGAUAGCGAUUAUGAUGUUGAUCAUAUCCAUCAAAGUAAUGAACAGAAUGAAGAAAACUCUAAUUCGAACCGCGAUAAUAAAGAUUUCAAAGACAUCGAAAGUGACAUAGAUAGCAUCAAAGCUACGUUGUACAGUUCUGAAGAUAAUUCAAGUUCCGUCAGCGAUGAAGUGCAUUUAGAUGAUGAAACGAACUUUGUUGAAAAUUUGCGCGACUGGGCAUCUUCAAAUAACAUCACACAUAACGCGAUCGAUCAAUUGCUAGCAUUAUUGAAACCAGCACAUCCUAUCUUACCCUUAAGUGCUAGGACUCUACUUCACACGUCACGACGUAUUGAAACGUUAAAUUUAGACAACGGAGAAAUGUGUUAUUUCGGUUUGGAGAAAUGCUUGAGACAAAAACUCGAGUCAGGUCUCAAAAAAGGACUGUCACCUGAACAUACGUUGCGAGUUGAUUUUAAUAUUGAUGGGAUUCCCGUUUAUAAAAGUAGCGGAACAUCAUUUUGGCCAAUUUUGGGACGCAGUAUUUCAAUGAUCGAUGAUAGCCCAUUUGUAAUUGGUGUUUAUUAUGGUACGGGUAAACCGAUGCCACUAUCUUCAUAUUUACGAGAUUUAAUUAAAGAAACGUCACGUUUAAGCACCAAUGGUUUUGAGUUUAAUGGCACCAAAUACUUUGUCAGAGUUGGUUUAUUCGCGUGUGACGCGCCCGCGAGAUCUAUGUUGAAAAUGUGUUUAGGACAUUCGGGUAAGGAUGCUUGCGAGAGGUGUAAGAUUCGCGCAGUUCAUCUCAACCGUAAACUGUGUUAUCCAUGUGACACCGAAUUCCAGAAGCGAAAAGAUAGUGAUUUUGUUGCACCUAGUGAAAACGAUCGUCACGUUAAAGGACGUUCGCCUCUUUUAGAUCUUUACGUGGGACUAGUCUCCCAAUUUCCUUUAGAUCCCAUGCAUUUAAUCUACCUGGGAAUUUUGAAGAGGUUGCUCCUUAAAUACUGGGUCGAGGGUUCACGUGAUUGCAAAUUGUCUAAGGAUAUUUUGUUAGAAAUUGAACGUAUAAUGAAACUAUUGGCGCGAUAUGUUCCGGCAGAGUUUCCUCGAAAGCCCCGUGGAUUUUUGGAUUUGCAUCGAUGGAAAGCGACAGAAUUUAGAUUUUUCUUGUUAUAUUCCGGCCCUGUUGUAAUGCGGGAUGUGCUAGAUCGAAAAAAGUACAAACAUUUUUUAUUAUUGUCUGCCGCCGUGUAUAUUCUAUCGAAUACAGCCUUGUUCUCGCGUUUUCGAAACAUCGCGCAAGAUAUGAUCGAAAAAUUCGUUACUCAAGGUGCUAAGAUAUACGGACAAAACUUUGUCGUAUAUAAUGUACAUUCGCUGCUGCAUGUCAUAGACGACGUAGAACGAUUUGGCCCAUUAGAAGAAUACAGUUGCUUUGUGUAUGAAAAUCAUUUGGGCCAUUUGAAACGACUUAUUCGAUCGAAACGCUUGCCGCUGCAGCAGCUGAGUAAUCGACUUGAAGAACUAAGUUCUAUUCGUAAAACUAAUUGUCAGGAAAAAUUUAUUCCUAAACCCAAAUUUAUUGGAAAUUCUCGUGAAUGUCAGGCUCUGGAAACGAAAAAAUUCAAAAUAUCAAUAAAAAGGCCGGAUAAUGUAGUAGCUUGUGGGACAGAAAUAUUAGUGAUCAAAUCAAUCCUUUUCAUUGCCGGAGAAUAUAGAAUUAUAGGUACUCCGUUCAAGUACAAGCGAGACCUUUAUCAGAAACCUAUUAAAUCUUCCAAACUAGGGAUUUUUUUCGUAAGAAGUUUCAACGUAGCGAAAUCUUAUCGCGUCGAUGAUAUAUUACAUAAAUUCGUCUGUCUUCCAUUUAAAGAUGGUUUCGCAGUAACUCCGAUACUACACGAAAUGAAAUAAAAUUUUUAUUUUUUGUUAAACAUCUCAACGAAACGAGCUCUCGACAAAAAACAGAUGAUGAACCUACGAUUCUCGGCAAUGUGUACGAGGAAGAGGGAUUCGUUCAAGACAUGUAUAGUAUGUCUAUGUCUACCUCGCACACAUUCCCGAGAAUCGUAGGUUCAUUAUCUCUUUUAUAUUAAAAGUUUGCUUCAAUUGAGAUGUUUAGCAAAAAAUAACAUUAUCGUAUACCUAUUACCAUAUACCGUAUAUGCCGAGUCUAAUUUACCUAGUAGUCCAAUAUACCCAACUCUACCAUAUGUUCAUAACAUCACUUUUGAGCUGAUUUAUUAUAGUUUUGUACGUCACAUUGACGUUCAAGUAUUGGUUAGACAUGCGUUCCCAAAAUCUUCAUAAUGUUUCAUGAUCGAUUCAUCUUUUAACUUAUAUACUACCUUGCAUAUUCCUAUGUUGAUGUCCUAAUUAAAAACUUUUAAACUGGCACUUUUUGCUCAGAGUGGAAUAAAAGUGCUUGAAUUUUGAUCAAAUAUAAAUUUAUACACCAGACUAGAGAAUAUGAUACAUUUAACGAUGUUUUUACUCAGUCGUGCUGCAGAACUAUGUAUGCGGUGAUUGAAUUCUUGGUUGGCGAAGAUAGAGAAUGCGCAUUGGUACCAGUUCUUUGGCUGGUCGAAAACAACACCCAAUGUUACUGGCCACGGACAAAAACUGAAGAUCAUUUUACAAAACUUGUAAAAUCAAAGGCUGCCUAUGAAAAAACAUGGCCAAAGUUUGCCAUUCACAAAGUACUGCAUACCGGAGAUGACUACCACGACACCGAAGCAACGAUGGCGCGCCUACUGGAGCUGGGCACGUCCGAUGAAUCCGGAAUAAUUCGCAACAUCGCUAAAAAAUCCACUGUAAUACCUCAGCAAGAUAUUACCAAUGACGUGGACGAGAAUGAAGCUACGAACAGUGAUGAUGUCGAACCUGAGCCGCAAAAGAAAAAACGUAAACACAAAACCGACAAGAAGAAGGCUAAAAAUCGACACGUUAGUAACAAAAAAAAAAAAACGAAGCGUUCUCGUGAAAGUUCAAGUAGUUUAGGUUACACCUCUUCAGCUGACGAGAAUUUGCCACCGUCCGAAGUCGAUGAAUCGACUUCUAACCGUAAUAAGAAUACUCGCUACAUUAACUCAGCCAAAGGAUCUACCAAAAAUCAGACACCAAAGAAAAACUUGGCCCACAAGAUCGUACAGCACCAGUAUAAUGAUAAUUCCCAUGAGUCACCGAAUCAGUUGUCUGGAUAUGAAACAUCAAAUAGAAACAUUUCUAGUAGGAUCAUCAGGUCUACCACGCAAUAUGACUUAUCAAGAUCCUUUUCACAACUUGAACCUUCAACCCCGACCACAUCACGCGAACAGAAUACCUUUGAAGAAAAAACUCUGCAGUAUUUAGAACACAUUAAAUCCUACACUGAACAAAACCAUCUGCUACUACGUAAAAUCUUCUCAAAACAGAAGGAAGUCAGCAUCGACGUAACAAAGAAACCAGCCGAAUUCCCAAAACUUCCUCUUAACUCCAUGGAAGACUUCUCCAACCUCGAAAAUAUCCUGAAAUCCGAAGAGCAUCGAACUUAUUUAUAUUUUGUUGCAGACCGGGAAACUGGCUUCUAUUGGAGGGACAAGCGGUCGCCAAUGUGUGUUGGCUAUAAUGAGGUCACUACUCACAAACGAAUUAGCGAUGCAAUUCAAUUGGGCAGGGAGGGACAAAGUCUCAUUUCAAAAGACAUUGACAAUGGAAACUGUUUACGAGGCUGUGAAACAAACCUUUCUUGGCAAGAAGGAAAUUGGUGAUGCAACCGAAACCAGUGUUUCGUGUGCCGUGAAAGACUGGUUAAAACUAGCUCGAUCACGGCAUACCUAUGUACGAAAGAAGGGCUAAGAAACUGUGGUAAACGUCAACUAAUUUUAAAAACAGUCAUAUAAAAGUACAAAUCAUACAGGCAUAUAAAUAUUUCUGAUAUAAGUGUAAUAUUCUUAGCGUUUUCUGUUAGUUGUAACUACCGUGAAGACGAAAGUAUAGUGUAGGUUGAGCUGUGUCUAUGAGCUACAAGAUGUACCUUUUUUUUUGAUAAAUGAGUAUUUAUAGAUAUAAGAUAUUUGUGUAACGUUCUAACAAAGAUAUAAUAAAAUCGAUUCACAUAUAUAAACUAAAUUCGUACGCUUUCUAACUCAACCCAGACUUGUUUCUAGCUAACGUGAAAUGAUCUUCCUCUAUAGCAGUGUACUAUAUACGCUUUCAAUUACACAUCCAAGAUACGUUAUGUAUUCAAGUCUAGAGGUCCAAUUAAAAACGUUUUUUAACACUGUAUAAUAUUCGUUUAGACAUAAAUAAUGAAAGAUUAAAGCGUCAUUAACAGAAAACAUUUUGUCACGUUAGUUAAACGGACAUUGUCAACACA
This 7355-nucleotide unclassified non-coding RNA is filed under the name Neodiprion lecontei (redheaded pine sawfly). RNAcentral describes it as "uncharacterized LOC124295598, transcript variant X2". Lineage: Eukaryota; Metazoa; Arthropoda; Insecta; Hymenoptera; Diprionidae. The record is from RNAcentral.